GGGCCCGCACAAGCGGUGGAUUAUGUGGAUUAAUUCGAUGCAACGCGAAAAACCUUACCUAGCCUUGACAUGUACCGAAUUUAGCAGAGAUGCUUUAGUGCUCGUAAGAGAACGGUAACACAGGUGCUGCAUGGCUGUCGUCAGCUCGUGUCGUGAGAUGUUGGGUUAAGUCCCGCAACGAGCGCAACCCUUGCCAUUAAUUGCCAUCAUUUAGUUGGGCACUUUAAUGGGACUGCCGGUGACAAACCGGAGGAAGGUGGGGAUGACGUCAAGUCCUCAUGGCCCUUAUGGCUAGGGCUUCACACGUAAUACAAUGGUCGGUACAGAGGGUAGCCAACCCGCGAGGGGAGCCAAUCCCAGAAAGCCGAUCGUAGUCCGGAUUGUUGUCUGCAACUCGACAGCAUGAAGUCGGAAUCGCUAGUAAUCG
RNAcentral lists this ribosomal RNA (427 nucleotides) under uncultured bacterium. RNAcentral describes it as "bacterial SSU rRNA". It matches the Rfam family "Bacterial small subunit ribosomal RNA", at positions 917 to 1344 of the family's 1533-position model. The record is from RNAcentral.